Molecule: transfer RNA, 75 nt
Filed under: Candidatus Melainabacteria bacterium
Lineage: Bacteria; Bacillati; Candidatus Melainabacteria
Description: tRNA-Trp
Rfam family: tRNA
About the family: Transfer RNA (tRNA) molecules are approximately 80 nucleotides in length. Their secondary structure includes four short double-helical elements and three loops (D, anti-codon, and T loops).
Source: RNAcentral
GCGAGAAUCGGUUAAGUGGUAAACCAAUUGGCUCCAAACCAGUGACUGAGCGUUCGAAUCGUUCUUCUCGCGCCA